Molecule: ribosomal RNA, 540 nt
Filed under: uncultured Geobacter sp.
Lineage: Bacteria; Pseudomonadati; Thermodesulfobacteriota; Desulfuromonadia; Geobacterales; Geobacteraceae
Also listed under: 1 other name
Description: bacterial SSU rRNA
Rfam family: Bacterial small subunit ribosomal RNA
Source: RNAcentral
AGAGUUUGAUCCUGGCUCAGAACGAACGCUGGCGGCGUGCUUAACACAUGCAAGUCGAACGUGAUUCAGAGCUUGCUCUGAUGAAAGUGGCGCACGGGUGAGUAACGCGUGGAUAACCUGCCCUGGUAUCUGGGAUAACAUCUCGAAAGGGGUGCUAAUACCGGAUAAGCCUACGGGCUCUUCGGAGUCUGCAGGAAAAGGAGGCCUCUAUUUAUAAGCUUCCGUAUCAUGAUGGGUCCGCGUACCAUUAGCUAGUUGGUGGGGUAAUGGCCUACCAAGGCGACGAUGGUUAGCUGGUCUGAGAGGAUGAUCAGCCACACUGGAACUGAGACACGGUCCAGACUCCUACGGGAGGCAGCAGUGGGGAAUUUUGCGCAAUGGGGGAAACCCUGACGCAGCAACGCCGCGUGAGUGAUGAAGGCUUUCGGGUCGUAAAGCUCUGUCAGAGGGGAAGAAAUGAAACGUGCUAAUAUCACGGCUUCUUGACGGUACCCUCAAAGGAAGCACCGGCUAACUCCGUGCCAGCAGCCGCGGUAAUAC